Molecule: ribosomal RNA, 451 nt
Filed under: uncultured bacterium
Lineage: Bacteria
Description: bacterial SSU rRNA
Rfam family: Bacterial small subunit ribosomal RNA
Source: RNAcentral
AACGAACGCUGGCGGCAUGCCUAACACAUGCAAGUCGAACGAAGCCUUCGGGCUUAGUGGCGCACGGGUGCGUAACGCGUGGGAAUCUGCCCUUGGGUUCGGAAUAACAGUUAGAAAUGACUGCUAAUACCGAAUGAUGUCUUCGGACCAAAGAUUUAUCGCCCAAGGAUGAGCCCGCGUCGGAUUAGCUAGUUGGUGAGGUAAAGGCUCACCAAGGCGACGAUCCGUAGCUGGUCUGAGAGGAUGAUCAGCCACACUGGGACUGAGACACGGCCCAGACUCCUACGGGAGGCAGCAGUGGGGAAUAUUGGACAAUGGGCGAAAGCCUGAUCCAGCCAUGCCGCGUGAAUGAUGAAGGCCUUAGGGUUGUAAAAUUCUUUUGCAGGGGGAAGAUAAUGACGGUACCCUGCGAAUAAGCUCCGGCUAACUUCGUGCCAGCAGCCGCGGUAAU